GUGCUUGCUUUGGCAGCACAUAUAGUAAAACUGGAACAUACAGAGAAGUUUAUCAUGGCCCCUGCAAAGGGAUGACAUGCAAAUUUAUGAAGCAGUCCAUAUUUUU
Camelus dromedarius (Arabian camel) is the source of this 106-nucleotide small nuclear RNA. NCBI's taxonomy places the organism in Eukaryota, Metazoa, Chordata, Mammalia, Artiodactyla, Camelidae. The record is from Ensembl.